AAUUGGAAACAGAAUUGUUAGAUCCUAAAACUAAAAAUUUAUCAAGAAUGUAUAACUUGCUGUUGAAAUGGAAUACACAGGAUGAAACGGUUAAAUCUGUUAUGAUUAAAUGGGCACAAGACUUUGGACAUAACAUUAUGUUUGCUGAAUGGGAACAGUUAUGGACCACAAGUAUGAAAUUUACGGCUUGUAAUGCCUUAAGAGAAAAUAUAAUGAAAAUGAUCUACAGGUGGUACUUAACCCCAGCCAAGCUAGCAAAAAUCUAUCAUUUGUCAGAUAGUAAAUGUUGGAAAUGUAAAGAGACUGAGGGCACAUUUUUUCACCUUUGGUGGACAUGCCCAAGGAUUAAGGCUUUCUGGGAAAUGAUAUAUAAUGAAUUGAAAAAGGUAUUUAAAUAUACCUUUCUGAAGAAACCAGAGGCCUUUCUUCUGGGCAUGGUCGGCCAAUUGGUGCGAAGGGAGGAUAGAACUUUUUUUAUGUAUGCUACAACAGCAGCAAGAAUACUCAUCGGAAAGUACUGGAAGACACAAGAAUUACCCACCCGAGAAGAAUGGCAGAUGAAAGUGAUGGACUACAUGGAACUGGCUGAGAUGACUGGCAGAAUUCGAGACCAGGGAGAAGGGUCGAUGGAAGAAGAUUGGAAAAAAUUCAAAAUAUAUCUUCAAAAAUAUUGUAAUAUAAAAGACUGUUAGAAAGAUGUUGGAAAAAGAAAAUUAGGUCGUUUUGGUAGAUAUGAUAUAAAGGAUUAAGCAAAAAUGAGUUGAUGAAAUUGAUGAAACAGAGGAUGUUUAAUUACAUUAUUUUAAAUUAAAAUACGUAAAUGGAAAUAAGGUUAGAAGGAUUUGCUGGAAAUACGAUCUGAACUAGAAUACAAAAUUGGGAGGUGAGAGGAGGUCAUGGAAAUAAGUAAAGGGAAAAGGUUAUGUAAAGGUUUAAUCUGUUUUUGUUCUAUUCUAACUCAAUGCAUUUUUAUAUUUUUUGUUUCGUCUUCUUUUUUAUUCUAUUUUAUUGUUCACUUUUUUCUUGUUAUUUCUCACUUUGUUAUGGUUAAAUUUUUCUUUGUAUUUUGUAUUGUUUUUCCUUCUCUUUUUUGUAAUUUUAAACUUGGAAUAAAUAUCAUUUU
Molecule: non-coding RNA, 1123 nt
Organism: Podarcis lilfordi (Lilford's wall lizard)
Lineage: Eukaryota; Metazoa; Chordata; Lepidosauria; Squamata; Lacertidae
Source: the annotation of a GenBank genome assembly